Panthera uncia (snow leopard) is the source of this 1196-nucleotide long non-coding RNA. RefSeq lists it as uncharacterized. NCBI's taxonomy places the organism in Eukaryota, Metazoa, Chordata, Mammalia, Carnivora, Felidae. The transcript has 2 exons. The record is from RefSeq and is a predicted model, not a curated record.
UUCCCUCGCCACGUUCCUUCACUCAAGUGCGCGUGCGCUGCCUGAACCUGGGUGUGUGGGGCGGGAGGUGUCGGCUCCGCCCGCCUACUUAGGUGGGCGGAGACAGUCGCGUGAGUUCGGGGAGCCAGAUUCUCCCGCGCUAUUAACCAGCCCGCCCCCUUUUGCACAUGCGCGUACAUCAGUACUAGAUCCAAGGGUUGUUGAGAGGCUGUGGAGUUGCGCCUGCGCUAUAGACCUCCCUGCCGGAAGUGGGCGGAUCGUGUUCCAAAGCCUAAAGGGCGGAGGGAGAAAGCGCGGCAAAGAUCUGUGUUGCUGAAUGGAACGCUGAAUCCGGACACUGUCCCAGGUGCCCUGCUGCAGAACUACUGAGCCUAGAAAUGUAAAGACCAGAAUAUGGUCAGAGAGAACUUACUUUUCGAUUUUAAAAAGGUUUUACAAGAUUAUUCUGUUUACAUGUGUGUUUAAUGAAGAUUUUAAGGAAAGGGAGGAUUUCCCCUAAAUUUCCUUCCCCACCGCCCCCCUCCCCCGAAUUCUUACAUUUCUAGAAGACUUCAGGAGUCAAAGAGAUAUUUGAAUGCCUACAUGCCCAGUUGGAGAACAAGUAUUCUGGCCAAAAACAAACAAACAAAAAAAAAAACCAGCGUAUGUUCUCAACCACAGAAACGUUCGUCCCUAGUCAGGAAGCCGUUAGGAAGAUACAUUAAAUAAGAGCCGGAAAAGAAAGAAAUCUGCAUCAAGGGGAUGAGGCAGAAGGUGACUUUUGGACCACAGAGACCCGGUUAAACAGGGAGAAGCUGGAAAACUCUAAGAACGUCUCAAGCUGGUGAGCAGAGAAACCUCCAUGCCAAGAGUUAUAAAUCCUAAUCAAGGAUCCAAAAACUGAAGGGAAAGGAAAAGUGAUUCUUGGGUAUUCUGAUGAAGUUACUCAGACAUUCUAUGGAGCUGGGGAGAAGAUUUUUCCCUUUUGGAUAGCUCCCAUCUCCUUAAACUAUCUCCUCCUUGAGAGAUUGGAUCUUAGAAGGAUCCUAAGUCAGGGCUCCUGGGUGGCUCAGUUGGUUAAGCAUCUGGCUUCGGCUCAUGGGUUCAAACCCUUUGUUGGACUCUGUGCUGACAGCUCACAGCCUGGAGCCUGCCUCAGACUGUCUCCGAAUCUCCCUGCCCCUCCCCCGCUGGCGCGCGCGCACGCGCACUCUCUC